Molecule: ribosomal RNA, 1260 nt
Filed under: Campylobacter jejuni
Lineage: Bacteria; Pseudomonadati; Campylobacterota; Epsilonproteobacteria; Campylobacterales; Campylobacteraceae
Description: bacterial SSU rRNA
Rfam family: Bacterial small subunit ribosomal RNA
Source: RNAcentral
UAAGGUAAUGGCUUACCAAGGCUAUGACGCUUAACUGGUCUGAGAGGAUGAUCAGUCACACUGGAACUGAGACACGGUCCAGACUCCUACGGGAGGCAGCAGUAGGGAAUAUUGCGCAAUGGGGGAAACCCUGACGCAGCAACGCCGCGUGGAGGAUGACACUUUUCGGAGCGUAAACUCCUUUUCUUAGGGAAGAAUUCUGACGGUACCUAAGGAAUAAGCACCGGCUAACUCCGUGCCAGCAGCCGCGGUAAUACGGAGGGUGCAAGCGUUACUCGGAAUCACUGGGCGUAAAGGGCGCGUAGGCGGAUUAUCAAGUCUCUUGUGAAAUCUAAUGGCUUAACCAUUAAACUGCUUGGGAAACUGAUAGUCUAGAGUGAGGGAGAGGCAGAUGGAAUUGGUGGUGUAGGGGUAAAAUCCGUAGAUAUCACCAAGAAUACCCAUUGCGAAGGCGAUCUGCUGGAACUCAACUGACGCUAAGGCGCGAAAGCGUGGGGAGCAAACAGGAUUAGAUACCCUGGUAGUCCACGCCCUAAACGAUGUACACUAGUUGUUGGGGUGCUAGUCAUCUCAGUAAUGCAGCUAACGCAUUAAGUGUACCGCCUGGGGAGUACGGUCGCAAGAUUAAAACUCAAAGGAAUAGACGGGGACCCGCACAAGCGGUGGAGCAUGUGGUUUAAUUCGAAGAUACGCGAAGAACCUUACCUGGGCUUGAUAUCCUAAGAACCUUAUAGAGAUAUGAGGGUGCUAGCUUGCUAGAACUUAGAGACAGGUGCUGCACGGCUGUCGUCAGCUCGUGUCGUGAGAUGUUGGGUUAAGUCCCGCAACGAGCGCAACCCACGUAUUUAGUUGCUAACGGUUCGGCCGAGCACUCUAAAUAGACUGCCUUCGUAAGGAGGAGGAAGGUGUGGACGACGUCAAGUCAUCAUGGCCCUUAUGCCCAGGGCGACACACGUGCUACAAUGGCAUAUACAAUGAGACGCAAUACCGCGAGGUGGAGCAAAUCUAUAAAAUAUGUCCCAGUUCGGAUUGUUCUCUGCAACUCGAGAGCAUGAAGCCGGAAUCGCUAGUAAUCGUAGAUCAGCCAUGCUACGGUGAAUACGUUCCCGGGUCUUGUACUCACCGCCCGUCACACCAUGGGAGUUGAUUUCACUCGAAGCCGGAAUACUAAACUAGUUACCGUCCACAGUGGAAUCAGCGACUGGGGUGAAGUCGUAACAAGGUAACCGUAGGAGAACCUGCGGUUGGAUCACCUCCUUU